GGUGGGGUUCCCGAGCGGCCAAAGGGAACAGACUGUAAAUCUGUCGUCAUCGACUUCGAAGGUUCGAAUCCUUCCCCCACCACCA
RNAcentral lists this transfer RNA (85 nucleotides) under Salmonella enterica. Its description in RNAcentral is "tRNA-Tyr(gta)". It matches the Rfam family "tRNA". From Rfam's summary of the family: Transfer RNA (tRNA) molecules are approximately 80 nucleotides in length. Their secondary structure includes four short double-helical elements and three loops (D, anti-codon, and T loops). RNAcentral also lists the same sequence under 10 other names. The record is from RNAcentral. Lineage: Bacteria; Pseudomonadati; Pseudomonadota; Gammaproteobacteria; Enterobacterales; Enterobacteriaceae.